AAUAAUGUAUGGAAGCUAAUAGCUAUGGAAAAUCCAAUAAUUUAUGGACAUAUAUUGUAUUAAUUCUAAAAUAUCAAUUGCAAUUAUUAAAAAAAUUAUAUUUUUCUUAACGAGGAAUCCCCAAACCUACAAGGAAAAGGAAGUUUUCAGGGUUUUAGCCAGGGUUUGGUUUUACUUUUACCUCUCAGAUUCUCUCUUCACUUCAUUGAACGCCCAGUUCCUCAAACCAAACCGAGUGGCAUCACUUCAUUUUAAGGCGUAUCCAAGCUUUACACUGCACGAGGGGUUGCUUCAAUUUCCUGUAAGAACUCGAAACUCGAAGCAACUUUUUCACUUCCCCCCCCCCCCCACUUUCUCAUUGUUUAUCUUUGAAUUGGGUUUUAUCUCAUAUUUGAUGCUCACCUUUGUAAUAUUAAUGUUCAUUAUAAACCCAAAAAUGACCUGAAAAAGAGGGUUGUUCUUGAUUUCACCAUCACCAAAUGCAUCGUCGCCUUGCAAUAUUCACCUACAAAGUCCUCGUUAACACUAACCCUAUUCCAAUCACAACAGCCACCAGCACUACCCUUUUGUACUCUCAAUGCAAUCCCUUAAACCCUAGGACGAAUGGGUUUGCUUUCUUUCGCUUACUAUCUUUCACUCCGGGGCACAGGCGUGCGCAGGACCCUGAUGACCCAUCCAACCUGAUGAAGGAAGAUGGUGUCUCAGUUUGCUCUCAAAUGUGGAUAGAGAAUUUUCGAGAACCAGAUAGAAUUGUAAGCAAUUUGACCACUUAUCUUCGCCGUUUUGAACUGUGGGUAUUGGCUUAUCAGAAAGUGUGUGCUGAUGACAUGGGAGCCUAUAUGCCCCGUAGUGCGAUACAAAGGUCUGCAUUGGAGGACUUGUUAGCUCUUAGAAAUGCAGUUCUUGAUAAUAGGUUUAAGUGGGGUGCUAGGUUGGAUUUUCUUAUAAAGUCUCCGAAGGAUAAGACUGACUAUCAAUCUUUGUCAAAGAGGAAGAUUAAGGCAAUUUUGACAACCACACAACCGGCAGCAUUUCAAGAUAAGAUAGUUCAGGAGGUGUUAUUUAUGAUUUUGGAGCCGAUAUAUGAAGCACGGUUUUCACAAAAGUCUUUUGCUUUUAGACCUGGUAGAAAUGCACAUACGGUGUUGAGGGUGAUUAGGAGGAAUUUUGCUGGGUAUCUGUGGUAUAUAAAAGGGGAUUUCAGCACCAUAUUGGAUGGAAUGAAGGCGGGGUUAGUGAUAAGUGCUUUAAUGAGGGAUGUGAGGGAUAAGAAAGUGAUUGAUUUGAUAAAGGCAGCAUUGACUACCCCUGUGAUCACGAGUCGCAUGGAAGAGCCAAAGAAGAAGACGAAGAGGAAGUAUCAAAAAAAGAGGGUUUUGGCAGAGGAUGAGCCAAAGCCAGAUCCAUAUUGGUUAGACACCUUUUUUGGGUUUGCACCAGAGGAGGCAGAGAAGAUUCCUUCAUGGGGACACUCUGGGAUACUCAGUCCUCUUUUGGCUAACAUCUGCUUAGAUGAAUUGGACCAGUGGAUGGAGGGUAAGCUUAAGGAGUUUUAUCGUCCUUCAAAGAGUGAUGUCAUAUGGAAUAGUCCAGAAGGGGAAGCAGAACAGGGGAAUACAUCCUGGCCAGAAUUUGUGCCGACAAGUGGCCCAGACAAAACUAGGAAGAUGGAUUAUGUAAGAUACGGGGGUCACAUCCUGAUUGGUGUGCGAGGACCGAGAGCAGAUGCAGCCACAUUGAGGAAGCAAUUGAUUGAGUUUGUUGAUCAGAAAUACAUGCUCAAGGUUGACAAUGAGAGCCUCCCAAUUGAGCACAUAACUAAAGGUAUAAUGUUUCUUGAUCAUGUAUUGUGCCGAAGAGUUGUGUAUCCAACUCUACGGUACACUGCCACUGGUGGGAAGAUCAUUAGUGAAAAAGGUGUGGGCACCCUUUUGUCAGUCACAGCAAGCUUGAAACAAUGCAUUAAGCAAUUUAGGAAGUUGAACUUUCUGAAGGGGGACAAGGAUCCAGACCCACAGCCUUGUUUUAGAAUGUUCCAUGCCACUCAAUCUCAUACAAAUGCACAAAUGAACAAAUUUUUGUCAACAAUGGUUGAGUGGUUUAGAUAUGCUGACAAUCGGAAGAAAAUUGUGAACUUCUGUUCAUACAUUAUAAGGGGUUCACUUGCAAAGCUAUAUGCUGCAAAAUACAAGCUGCGUUCACGUGCAAAGGUGUAUAAGAUUGGUUCCCGGAAUCUGAGUCGUCCUUUGAAGGAGAAGAAAGGGUCUUCACCUGACUACCACAAUUUGCUACGAAUGGGCCUCGCCGAGUCAAUUGAUGGGCUUCAGUACACCAGGAUGUCUCUUGUACCUGAGACUGAUUACACCCCAUUUCCAAGUAAUUGGAUACCUGAUCAUGAGAAGGCAUUGCUUGAAUAUAUAAGCCUUGAUGAUCCAAAAACUCUCGAGGAUCAACGAUGUAGCAUUAGAAAGCAAGGUCUGGUUUCAUCUCAGGACUACAUUUCAAUGCUUGUUUGGAACUACAAGCGAAACGCUAUUGCAAUGGAUCAGCUUUCCCUCAUAAAAAGUGGUGGAAAUAACACAGAAAAAGAACAACAGUUGCUUUUGGGCUCUGAUAAAGAUACUUAUGAUCAGAAAAGCAAAGAAGAGGAAGAACAUGAAGAUGGGUUUGACGUGGCAGAAAUCUAAGGGGGCUCUGGUGUUGCAUUUGGAAAUUUCCUGGAGAUAGGACCACAUUUACUUGGGAUAGUUCUUUGAUGUUGAGUUGAGUUGUCACCUGAGUACUGCAAUUUGCUAAGAAUUGUCCUCAUCGAGUCAAUUGACAGGCUUCAGUGUACCAGGAUGUCUCUUGCCAGACUGAUUGUGUCAUUUCCAUGUAAUUGGAUACCUAAUCAGGAGAAGGCUUUGCUUGAAUAUUUGAGCUCGAUGAUCCAAAAAUUCAGGAGGAUCAAAGAUUUUGCUGAUGUUGCUAGGAGAACAAGGGCUGGUCUCUCCUCAAUUAAUACUAAAUUUUGAUGCUGGUUUGAAACUACAAGCGAAAUGCUAUUCUGAUGGAUCAGCUUCUGCUCAUUAAGUGGUGGAAAUAUCGAAGAAACAGAGCAACAGUUUCUGCUGGGUUCUGGUCAUGAUGAUCAUGAUUAGAAAAUCAAAGAAGCAGAGAGGAACACAAAGAAGGGUGUCACGUGGCAGAAAUGUGAGGUUGCGAGAAAAUUUACUCUGCACUUCUUUUUGUGGGAUCUGUCCUUGUAUAACAAUGCAGUUCAUGGAUGUACACAGUCAUUACAGUCAUACACUGUCAUUUCCCUCCAUAUAAAUUUUUGUUACAACUAGUGCUGUCCAAGGAUUUUUUUUUCUAAUUGGCUAUGUAUGCUAGUGGCUUCAAUCCUCGUUUGCAGUCA
RNA transcript from Populus nigra (black poplar), 3397 nucleotides. It is a transcript of the gene named nuclear intron maturase 2, mitochondrial-like, with no coding region annotated. The record is from RefSeq and is a predicted model, not a curated record. The transcript is spliced from 3 exons. Lineage: Eukaryota; Viridiplantae; Streptophyta; Magnoliopsida; Malpighiales; Salicaceae.